GAACUCGAGAUCUCACAUUCAUGAAGACUACUCCAACAUUCAUGAAGACCACUCCAAAACUACUGCGCUAAAACUCAUUGGUUUUUAUCCAAUUGUGUUUAUUGUAUCAGAAUAGUGCCUGUUUUUAUCUUCUGUAGGAAGGCAGGAGACCAGCUUUGAAGGGCAUUCUGCAUGUUGUAAUGUCUGAUGGAGGGAUAAGAAAUUUCACAUUCUGCUCUUCAUCACUUGAGGAAUGCCAAUCUGAAUAAUUUCACGUGUUCUUUUUGUAAUAGAUUUUGGCCCAUUUGCAGCUUUAUUCUAAGUGCAGAGGGCUGGACCAUUCUAGUCUGAAAUCACCAUUUAUCAGGUUACCACUAAUCCAACAAAAUGAAUCCAGUAGAUAAUGAGAGCUCACUUAUCAAUUAGGGUUUGACUAUGUUUGGA
This 423-nucleotide unclassified non-coding RNA is filed under the name Hevea brasiliensis (rubber tree). Lineage: Eukaryota; Viridiplantae; Streptophyta; Magnoliopsida; Malpighiales; Euphorbiaceae. The record is from RNAcentral.